Long non-coding RNA from Nematostella vectensis (starlet sea anemone), 1026 nucleotides. RefSeq lists it as uncharacterized. The record is from RefSeq and is a predicted model, not a curated record. Lineage: Eukaryota; Metazoa; Cnidaria; Anthozoa; Actiniaria; Edwardsiidae. The transcript has 2 exons.
CCGUCCUCAAGCGAACUCGCAAGCGAUUUUAGGUUUUAGUGAAUGAGGCAGCAUAGAUGGUAGGAGCUCUAAUUGGAGAAUGUGAUCCUCAAUCAAAACAACCCAGUUUAAUGGAAUAAAUUAUAACGGGGUAAAACAGAUGCGCUGGCUUAUCGAAACAUCAGACGUAAAAAGCCACAGUUGCUUGGUAAGAUCGACAAAACAUAGCGCACGGCUUUGCUGACGUUCAAGAAAAAACGCUUAAAAUACAAGCAUAAAAUAACGUCUUAAAAAAGAGUCUCUCGAGGGUGGAAUUCAAGCGGUACCUAACGAUACCAAAGUGUGGAUAUUCAAGGGCAAGUGUUGAUUUAGAGGGGUUGUUAUAAUGAUUAAAAAUAACCUGUUCUGUUGAUCCUUUUCUGUUCCAUUCCUUAAGGUAAAGGAAAUGUGUUGACACAAGCGGAUGUGGAUUUUCAGCGGUCAUGGUUUGGUGCGAAGAUGUCUAGGUGGGAAUGCUCUCAAACCUUUCGGUUACCGUGCCCACAGGGAAGCGACAAAAACAAAGAUAACCUUUCGAGACAUGUCAUUUUUCAAGGGAGUGUUCACAGCCAAGGCGCUGUAGACAAUGUGACCAUUUUUAUCGAGGGGGAAGCAAUAUAAAAACAUAUCCUGAGAAGAUCCCUACUGCGAUAUUAUCAAGAGAGCCCCCGAUUGCCAAAGGACAUGUCUAAUGUCGAAGGAUUAUUGAUUACCGUAAGUGUUCCGGAAGACGAUUGUCGGUUGAUUGCGUAUGCCCGAGCGAUUCCGAAGAAGCGCCGAAAGCUUAGAACCAAUGGACGCGAGCAAAUGCCAUAAAACCGGCAAAGGGUGUCUUAAAGUGGUAUUAGAAUAGAAUUAAACAAAUGAUCAAUAACAAUAACACUUGUAAGGUUGUUAUCAUGAAAAACAAUCUGAUUAAGCAUUAUAUGACACACUAAAAAAAAUAAUAUUUUUCUGCUAUCUGAUCUUCCAAAUGUUCUUAGAAUAUUAUUAAACUUUGGCGAAAUC